CACAAAAACAAUAAGUGGCGGGGCGAGGCAGAGGUGACCAGCGACGAGAGUGCUUCACAGAGCUCAUCGGUAUUCACUCGCCGCUCUCCUGCACUCGUGAACGAUUCUCCUCGCACUUCAAAGGCACAGCGAUAAAACACGCCUCCGGGAAUCAUUAGCGGCCAAGCAGAAGCAGCAGCGAGGUCAGCAGAAGCGCGAACAAAGGUGGAAGGGGAGACGUUGCGUAAGGAUUGCUCAUUUUUCCUGCAAAAUGGCUCCACCGACCCCGGGAAUACAAUCGCCUUCAAGGUUCUUGGUUCCUUGGCCGUCUGAGAACCUUCACGUCUUGACUCUCUAAAACAGGUGGCACGGCGCUGAGGGGACUUCGGAGCACACAGACACAAAGGGACUCGUCGUUACCCGCGUCAUAGCGUCGAGGAAAUGAUAUGAAAGGCGGCGAGGGAAGAACAGCCGCCGAGCAACAGUCCGCCUCGCCGUCAUUAGAGCCAGGCACGGAUGACAAGAAGAAUAAGUCUUUCUGAGGCACAACAAAGAGGGGAGGAGAGUAACAUACACACAAACACACACGUCAGUCUCCUUUCCCCCCUCUCUCGCGCGCCCACUGUUUCGCGGCCUAAUAGGGGAACAAAUGUACCCUACCAUGACCACAAAUAAGAAAUAGGGGAAUAAAAUGGGGUGUGACGUGAAAGGAGAUGAAGAAGAAGAAAAACAAGAAAAGAAAAAGAAAAAGAAGAAAAAAGACAAUGAAAAAAAAAAGAAGGAAGAAAGAAAAAAGAACAAUAACAAGAACAACGACUACAAAAACAACCAUACCAAGAGAGUUAUUACUACUACUACUACUACUACUACUACUACUACUACUACUUCACACAAGAAAAUGAAGAGGAAGCGAAAAAUAUACAAUCCUUUAAGGAGAAGAAAGAACAGAGAGGCUGAUUUAACCAUUUCCUCACCCUGUUAUCUGCCCUCUUCCUAAUGACCCCAAAACCUGUUACAUCAGAACCCAUUACGUCAGAGGCAAUUACGAAUGUGUAUUUAGUGUGUCCUGUGAGCUGCCUUGGUCCCUCACACAGCCCGCGGCCACAGACACUUCGGGGUUAGUGUUUGAGUCUGUGAGGCGACCUAACCAACUCAGGCAGCGUUGGUGUGUCUGGAUAAAGCCCGAACCACAACAUGCCCUUAAUGCAACGCCCGAGUGUGUGUCAAGGCCUGUGUCGCCGCUCUCACCAAUUCCACCACCACCACCACAACUGUACUAUCGCUACCGCCACCACCAUCACCGCAGCCGCCGUCACCUCUACCGCCCACAAGGAGACUAGUGAGUACACGGUUACUGUUCUCAUUCUUCCAACACUCAUACUCCAAGCUUUCCCUUACUACGAUAUGUUAAUUUUUCACCCACUAAACACCAAUGGAAUCUCUUCUCAACUGCUCUUCACCCUCAUCAAAUUCGACAUCCUUCCACUUUAUUCCUUGGGCUUUUUGCGCCAUACUAAGAGAAAAUGUUGGAGGUGGCCAUUCAUUCCUAUGAGAGUUUCAUAUAAACCUCUUAGGGAAUGGUGUCUGGCUUAUUGAUGGGGUAGGAAAUGAUCUCUAGGAAAUGUCUUGGUAAGGUAAAGCUCUUAACAGAAUUUAUAAACAUUAUCUUCCUAGUUAUUUGGCCGUGAAAUAAAAACCGUAACAGAUGGCAGACCAACAGAGAGGCAGGCAGGCAAACAGACAAACAGACAGACAGACAGACAGGAUGCAGGUCAGACGGUGCGGAGUUCCGGGUUGCAUGAAUGUAUGCAAAAUGUUGUUCUUAAAUGCAAUUACUCAUGCGGAAACAAGUUAUGAACGUUGAAAAAAUUGCAAACUCUUGAAAAAAUAUUCUUGGAAUGUUGCGAACAAAAACAAAGGCGACAAAAAU
Long non-coding RNA from Eriocheir sinensis (Chinese mitten crab), 1909 nucleotides. RefSeq lists it as uncharacterized. The transcript is spliced from 3 exons. Lineage: Eukaryota; Metazoa; Arthropoda; Malacostraca; Decapoda; Varunidae. The record is from RefSeq and is a predicted model, not a curated record.